RNAcentral lists this ribosomal RNA (578 nucleotides) under uncultured bacterium. Its description in RNAcentral is "bacterial SSU rRNA". It matches the Rfam family "Bacterial small subunit ribosomal RNA", at positions 31 to 600 of the family's 1533-position model. The record is from RNAcentral.
GAACGCUGGCGGCAGGCUUAACACAUGCAAGUCGAGCGGUAACAGGGGGUGCUUGCACCUCGCUGACGAGCGGCGGACGGGUGAGUAAUGCUUAGGAAUCUGCCCAGUAGUGGGGGAUAGCCCGGGGAAACCCGGAUUAAUACCGCAUACGUCCUACGGGAGAAAGCAGGGGAUCUUCGGACCUUGCGCUAUUGGAUGAGCCUAAGUCGGAUUAGCUAGUUGGUGGGGUAAAGGCCUACCAAGGCCACGAUCCGUAGCUGGUUUGAGAGGAUGAUCAGCCACAUCGGGACUGAGACACGGCCCGAACUCCUACGGGAGGCAGCAGUGGGGAAUAUUGGACAAUGGGGGCAACCCUGACCCAGCCAUGCCGCGUGUGUGAAGAAGGCUUUCGGGUUGUAAAGCACUUUCAGUGAGGAGGAAAACCUGAUGGUUAAUAUCCAUGAGGCUUGACGUUACUCACAGAAGAAGCACCGGCUAACUCCGUGCCAGCAGCCGCGGUAAUACGGAGGGUGCGAGCGUUAAUCGGAAUUACUGGGCGUAAAGCGCGCGUAGGUGGUUUGGUAAGCGAGAUGUGAAAG